This 505-nucleotide ribosomal RNA is filed under the name uncultured bacterium. RNAcentral's name for it is "partial 16S ribosomal RNA". It matches the Rfam family "Bacterial small subunit ribosomal RNA", at positions 28 to 507 of the family's 1533-position model. The record is from RNAcentral.
GACGAACGCUGGCGGCGUGCCUAAUACAUGCAAGUAGAACGCACAGUUUAUACCUUAGCUUGCUACACCAUAGACUGUGAGUUGCGAACGGGUGAGUAACGCGUAGGUAACCUGCCUGGUAGCGGGGGAUAACUAUUGGAAACGAUAGCUAAUACCGCAUAAUAUUAAUUAUUGCAUGAUAAUUAAUUGAACGGUGCAAUUGCACCCCUACCAGAUGGACCUGCGUUGUAUUAGCUAGUAGGUGAGGUAACGGCUCACCGAGGCGGCGAUACAUAGCCCAACGGGGAGGGUGGUCGGCCAGACUGGGACUGGGACACGGCUCAGACGUCCUCGGGAGGGAGCAGGAGGGAAACUUUGGACAUGGGGGGAAGUCUGAACGCGCAACGCCGAGGGAGGGAAGAAGGGUUUCGGGUCGGAAAGGUCUGUUGUAAGGGAAGAAAGGGCGUUAGGGUGGAAAGUUGACACUGUGACGGUAUCUGAACAGAAAGCAACGGCUAACUACGUG